RNAcentral lists this non-coding RNA (116 nucleotides) under uncultured Faecousia sp. RNAcentral describes it as "FMN riboswitch (RFN element)". It matches the Rfam family "FMN riboswitch aptamer (RFN element)". From Rfam's summary of the family: The RFN element is a highly conserved domain that is found frequently in the 5'-untranslated regions of prokaryotic mRNAs that encode for flavin mononucleotide (FMN) biosynthesis and transport proteins. The record is from RNAcentral. Lineage: Bacteria; Bacillati; Bacillota; Clostridia; Eubacteriales; Oscillospiraceae.
CAUCUUCGGGGCAGGGUGAAAUUCCCGACCGGCGGUAACAGUCCGCGAACGCCUCCCAGGGGGCGCCGAGCUGGUGCAAUUCCAGCGCCGACAGUACAGUCUGGAUGGUAGAAGAU